Lactuca sativa (garden lettuce) is the source of this 439-nucleotide non-coding RNA. The record is from RefSeq and is a predicted model, not a curated record. Lineage: Eukaryota; Viridiplantae; Streptophyta; Magnoliopsida; Asterales; Asteraceae.
UCCUAUACCUAGAAGCCCUAAAAUCCAAAUCGUGAAGUGUGUGUGCGUGAUUUUGAGUUAUGGCCGAGGGAGCGGUAAAGAAAAGAAAACCGAGAACCAAGAAUGAGAUCGAGAGGGCAGAAGGGAAGAGAUAGGGCUGCAAUCAAGUGAAGAGUUGAAGUUUGAUUUCUAGUGUGCCAUUGUUUCAAGGAGGCAUGAAGGGAAAGCAGGUGUGGGUGAGUUUUGGGUUGCUUUGGAGGUUUCUCUGUUCUUUGAGGAUGGUCGGGCAUGAUUGUACACACUGGCUUGAGGCGGAUUUUUGGAAUUAAUAUUGAACUUGUUGUCUUUUCAUAAAUUUUAGAAUUAUAACUAAUAAUGUUUGAAAACAUAAUUGAUCUUGGGGUUUGGUAUUUCAUUUGUUUUGAAUAAAAUAUAUUAAAUGGAUGAUUUAUGUUGUUUU